CCUCCGUAAGUAUACCCAUGUACUUUUCAGAAAGUCGAUUGACCCUGCUAGAUCUAUGAGAUGGUGGAGAAACAUCAACUACUGACUUAUGAAUAAUAGGUUCCUGAGGAUCCAUAGCUCUUUGCUCUUCAAAGACCUUCUCUUCAAGCUCAACUAACCUCCUACUACCACCAUUCUGGAUAAAUUAUUUUUCUAAAAAUAUAGCGUUUUGACUCACAAUCACAUUGUGAUCUUAUGAAAAGUAGAAGUAGUAUCCC
RNAcentral lists this long non-coding RNA (257 nucleotides) under Elaeis guineensis (African oil palm). Its description in RNAcentral is "long non-coding RNA (EGUI_LNC033682)". Lineage: Eukaryota; Viridiplantae; Streptophyta; Magnoliopsida; Arecales; Arecaceae. The record is from RNAcentral.